UGGUAGAUGCACCUUGAUCUUCAACGUCCCCUGUUGGUUAACUAAUCGACAGGGUUUUUCUU
Molecule: small RNA, 62 nt
Filed under: Calothrix sp. 336/3
Lineage: Bacteria; Bacillati; Cyanobacteriota; Cyanophyceae; Nostocales; Calotrichaceae
Description: Nitrogen stress-induced RNA 1
Rfam family: Nitrogen stress-induced RNA 1
Source: Rfam by way of RNAcentral